UGCAACCUACGGGGGGCAGCAGUGAGGAAUAUUGGUCAAUGGACGAGAGUCUGAACCAGCCAAGUAGCGUGAAGGAUGACUGCCCUAUGGGUUGUAAACUUCUUUUAUAAAGGAAUAAAGUGAGGCACGUGUGCCUUUUUGUAUGUACUUUAUGAAUAAGGAUCGGCUAACUCCGUGCCAGCAGCCGCGGUAAUACGGAGGAUCCGAGCGUUAUCCGGAUUUAUUGGGUUUAAAGGGAGCGUAGAUGGGUUGUUAAGUCAGUUGUGAAAGUUUGCGGCUCAACCGUAAAAUUGCAAUUGAUACUG
This 305-nucleotide ribosomal RNA is filed under the name uncultured bacterium. RNAcentral's name for it is "bacterial SSU rRNA". It matches the Rfam family "Bacterial small subunit ribosomal RNA", at positions 333 to 635 of the family's 1533-position model. The record is from RNAcentral.